RNA transcript from Hippoglossus stenolepis (Pacific halibut), 780 nucleotides. RefSeq lists it as uncharacterized. The transcript is spliced from 2 exons. The record is from RefSeq and is a predicted model, not a curated record. NCBI's taxonomy places the organism in Eukaryota, Metazoa, Chordata, Actinopteri, Pleuronectiformes, Pleuronectidae.
GGCAGCAUAAUUGCUCUGUCAGCAACGACAUGGGCACAAACACUGUGACGUUCAGGGUGGCUGUCAAACCCUACAUCAACCCGUACAUAGUAGUUGCUGUUCUUGUGGCUAUCGCCGGAUCGAUAGCAGUAGCCUUCUAUUUCUACAAACGAAGGUGUGAGGGACAUCACAACCUGGAGGAUGUUUUCCGUUUUCCCAAACAACACGAGGCCGUACCCACUGUAGAGUUUGUCUGUGGGAAGGUGUGACAAGUGUGUGGAGAAGUUGUUUUGUGAUACGCUGCAGAGUUGGCGUCGGACUCGUGGCCUGUGUUACAUCUCUCUGGCUGUCAUUUCCUGUCGUCUCUCUACUGACCUUAUCUGAUGACAUAAAAUGCCCCAAAUGAGUUCAGUCUCAACUUGUGUAACCUGAGUACUUCAAGGAAGUGUCUGUAUCUCAGGUUUAACACAUACUCAUGGUUAAACAUUGGUUUUAGGUCAAUUUAUACAUUUCACUUCACAGACAAAAGCACAUUGUUGGACAAAAUUUGAAAAAAUAAUUCACAUAUUCUUUCACAUUGAAGUUAGCAACUGUAUUUGUAUGACUUGUUAAAGUUAAGAUGAACACAAACUGUAUUUUGUGUACUACCCAUGGAAGUAAAUUUUUAAUUUGGUGAAAGAAAGAUCAUCUCUCUCUUUUUCUUUAUUCAGUGUAUGUACACAAGAGUUAAAAAUCCCGUGUAAAUGUGAAGCUAAUAAAGUAUUUGGUGGCUAAAUGGGUCACUUGUUUUUUUUAAAGCCA